CUGGAUACCAACCAAAGGCAUUAAACAUUUAAGAAAUUUUUUAUAGAAAAUGUACAAUUUUGCAAUGUCUAAAACCAUGAUUAGAUUUAGAACCAUAAAAAUAUUGCCACAAGAAUCAUUGUCUAACCUUACAUAUAUAUACACAAGAUUUGCAGGGAACCAGCCUCAUUGAUUAAUGUUCUCUCUAUGUAACAUACCACACAACAGACAGAUCUUGGAUCCAGGAGAUCUUGCGUUCGAGCUCCGCUAGUACUUUUGUAGGGAUGUAAAUAUUGCCACAAAUCAUUGUCAAACCUUAAGAACUCUAAAAACCCUAUGGUCUUCCUAGUCUUGUACUGAGGCACCAUCCCUUCACCUUAAAUUAUAUAUAUAAGAACAAAUGCCUAGAUGAAAUUGAGAAUUCACCGAAAUGGAAACAUGUUAACUAUAUAUUUCAAUAAAAUUGUGAUAACUAAGAAGGAAAAUUAAGGAGUAAGAUAUAGAAAUAUUAAAAAGAGAAAAAGGGAGCUCCCUUCAGUCCAAGCAAAGAAAAGAAAAGGAAGAAAUUUCACCUCCUGCAUCAUUCACACAUUCACAAUAGCAUUACCUAAUUAAUUAUCUAUUGUGUUUGAAUGAAUGAGUCAGCAGGUAAUUCAAACCCCUUACCCUUCCAUGAGUGGACUGAAGGAAACUCUCUUCAUCUGUUCCUAAUAAUAAUUAAUCCAAAAUAAACAUUAAUUAUUAUAAUUGUAAGAUUUCUUCAGAUCUACACAAAAUCAAAAUGAGACAAUAUUCAUAGAUAAUUGCAAUGAAGGAGCAUUCAAACCAAAGAACCCUAACCCUAAAACUACCAAAUAAAAAAUUAAAAUAAUUGAGAUCAAACAUUUGGAGAUUUUCUUACCAAUAUCCCUUUUACCAAAGGAGGAAUUCUCACACCCUUGAUUACCAUGCACCAUUCAAGAAUGUACAAAAUUAUGAACAUGAUCAAGCAAAAUUAAUAAUAAACAUAAUUUAAAUCAAAUUAAAAAAAGUCAACUUAUAUAUGUGUUACUAUAUAAAUAAGAAAGUUAUGUAAAUCAAAUUAACAUUCUCAUAAAAUGAUCUCAUUAUGAAUCCGAAGCUUCAACCAAAAGAUGAUAUCAACAAAAAGAAGUGAUAAAAGGGUAAAGAAAAUAUGAUCUAAAAAACCAAAUUAGCCAUGAGGGUAAAUAUGUGAAAUCAAAUCAAAUAAGAAACAAGUUGAAGGGUCAGAAGAAAAAAACAGUGAAGAGAAGAGAAAUAUAUUAAAAGCAAAAAAAAUAUCAGAGAGAGGAAGCAGUGUCACUGUCUUUGAUUAGAGUCAGAAAAAGGAAAAAGAUUGAAUGAAGAUCUUAAUAACCACACAAAUCUGGAAAAAGCACAGUUUUCCAAAAGAAAUCAAAACAAAGGUAAGCAAAGAUUAACUUUUUCUUUUUUUCUAAACAAGGUAAUUUAUGACUUUUACAAACUCAUAAACAUGAUAUAAGAGAAACAGAACUAGAGUUGAUUUUCUUACUUGUUUCUACAAUUCCUUAUAACAAAUCAAUCAACCCCUGAAACUGAAAGAGACUAUUACCACACUCACACACAAUCCAAGCUAUAUAGAGAUAAAAGAAAGAAGAUAGUGGAAUGAAAGGUGGGAUUUCUUUGUUUCCACUUUAAGUCAUGCGUUCUCUCUCAUCUUUUUUUUCUGCCACUCAACUGUAGAACAGUACUUGUAUUUUCUAUUACACUCUGCUAUGAGUAUGACUACACAAUUUUGAUAAAAAAUUUGGAAAAAAAAA
Molecule: long non-coding RNA, 1781 nt
Filed under: Trifolium pratense (red clover)
Lineage: Eukaryota; Viridiplantae; Streptophyta; Magnoliopsida; Fabales; Fabaceae
Description: long non-coding RNA (TPRA_LNC002047)
Rfam family: MIR159 microRNA precursor family (bases 493-687)
Source: RNAcentral